Molecule: ribosomal RNA, 497 nt
Filed under: uncultured bacterium
Lineage: Bacteria
Description: partial 16S ribosomal RNA
Rfam family: Bacterial small subunit ribosomal RNA
Source: RNAcentral
GAUGAACGCUGGCGGCGUGCCUAAUACAUGCAAGUCGAGCGAACGGACGAGAAGCUUGCUUCUCUGAUGUUAGCGGCGGACGGGUGAGUAACACGUGGAUAACCUACCUAUAAGACUGGGAUAACUUCGGGAAACCGGAGCUAAUACCGGAUAAUAUUUUGAACCGCAUGGUUCAAAAGUGAAAGACGGUCUUGCUGUCACUUAUAGAUGGAUCCGCGCUGCAUUAGCUAGUUGGUAAGGUAACGGCUUACCAAGGCAACGAUGCAUAGCCGACCUAAGAGGGUGAUCGGCCACACUGGAACUGAGACACGGUCCAGACUCCUACGGGAGGCAGCAGUAGGGAAUCUUCCGCAACGGGCGAAAGCCUGACGGAGCAACGCCGCGUGAGUGAUGAAGGUCUUCGGAUCGUAAAACUCUGUUAUUAGGGAAGAACAUAUGUGUAAGUAACUGUGCACAUCUUGACGGUACCUAAUCAGAAAGCCACGGCUAACUACGUG